CCGAGUUUACAACUCCCAAACCCCUGUGAACAUACCACUUGUUGCCUCGGCGGAUCAGCCCGCUCCCGGUAAUAAUAAACGGGACGGCCCGCCAGGGGACCCCUAAACUCUGUUUCUAUAUGUAACUUCUGAGGUAAAAACCAUAAAAUAAAUCA
RNAcentral lists this unclassified non-coding RNA (155 nucleotides) under soil metagenome. RNAcentral describes it as "partial internal transcribed spacer 1". The record is from RNAcentral.